RNAcentral lists this unclassified non-coding RNA (394 nucleotides) under soil metagenome. RNAcentral's name for it is "partial contains 5.8S ribosomal RNA, internal transcribed spacer 2, and large subunit ribosomal RNA". The stretch from base 1 to 121 matches the Rfam family "5.8S ribosomal RNA", at positions 35 to 154 of the family's 154-position model. The record is from RNAcentral.
GAUGAAGAACGUAGCGAACGUGCGAAACGUAAUGUGAAUUGCAGAAUUCAGUGAAUCAUCGAAUCUUUGAACGCAUCUUGCGCUCCUUGGUAUUCCGAGGAGCAUGCCUGUUUGAGUGUCGUGAAUACUCUCAACUUCAACCCUUUUUUCGGAAAGGGAGGAAGGUUGGACUUGGGUGUUUGUUGAAGUGCGAGCUUCGACUCAUCCUAAAUGCAUUAGCGAUCUGCCUCGAUCACACACAAUGUGAUAAUUAAAACUAAAGCAUUGUUAAUGAUCAAGUCGAGACUGCUUCUAACUGUCGCAAGACAAUAACGUGCAUACAUUUGUGCAUGUCAUUUGACCUCAAAUCAGGUAGGACUACCCGCUGAACUUAAGCAUAUCAAUAAGCGGAGGA